Molecule: transfer RNA, 73 nt
Filed under: Nanohaloarchaea archaeon SW_7_46_7
Lineage: Archaea; Methanobacteriati; Methanobacteriota; Candidatus Nanohaloarchaea
Description: tRNA-Pro
Rfam family: tRNA
About the family: Transfer RNA (tRNA) molecules are approximately 80 nucleotides in length.
Source: RNAcentral
GGCGGGGUAGUGUAGUGGACUAUCAUCGUACCCCGGGGCGGUACGGACCAGGGUUCAAAUCCCUGCCCUGCCA